RNAcentral lists this ribosomal RNA (253 nucleotides) under uncultured bacterium. Its description in RNAcentral is "partial 16S ribosomal RNA". It matches the Rfam family "Bacterial small subunit ribosomal RNA", at positions 524 to 776 of the family's 1533-position model. The record is from RNAcentral.
UACGGGGGGGGCAAGCGUUGUUCGGAAUUACUGGGCGUAAAGGGCUCGUAGGCGGCCAACUAAGUCAGACGUGAAAUCCCUCGGCUUAACCGGGGAACUGCGUCUGAUACUGGAUGGCUUGAGUUUGGGAGAGGGAUGCGGAAUUCCAGGUGUAGCGGUGAAAUGCGUAGAUAUCUGGAGGAACACCGGUGGCGAAGGCGGCAUCCUGGACCAACACUGACGCUGAGGCGCGAAAGCGUGGGGAGCGAACGGG